AUCAGAGUCACUUUUCCCACUGUACUUCUGGCUUUUGUGUUUGAUCUGAACGAUCAGGAAGUGUGUGAACAUCUGCGUCAGGGUUUUGGGAGUUUCUCCACCCUCAGCUUCACUCAGCAUUCUCUCUAGAACAGUGGCUGUAAUCCAGCAGAAGACCGGUAUGUGGCACAUGAUGUAGAGGCUUCUUGAAGACCUGAUGUGUGUGAAGACUUUUUUGGCCAGGUCCUCAUCCCUGAUCCUCUUCUUGAAGUACUCCUCUUUCUGAGGGUCACUGAAACCCCGCACUUCUGUUACCUGGUGAACA
Long non-coding RNA from Astyanax mexicanus (Mexican tetra), 304 nucleotides. RefSeq lists it as uncharacterized. The transcript has 3 exons. Lineage: Eukaryota; Metazoa; Chordata; Actinopteri; Characiformes; Acestrorhamphidae. The record is from RefSeq and is a predicted model, not a curated record.